Molecule: long non-coding RNA, 1994 nt
Filed under: Salmo salar (Atlantic salmon)
Lineage: Eukaryota; Metazoa; Chordata; Actinopteri; Salmoniformes; Salmonidae
Description: lncRNA (ENSSSAG00000099756.1, ENSSSAG00000104492.1)
Source: RNAcentral
AUUGAAGAUGGCUGCCAAUGAAGUAGCAGGCCUCUCUGCUCAGGUAGAACGGCCAACACAACACCUACAGUACACACACACACCUGAAUACCUGUUAAGCUAUUUAGUGUUCGUGAUAGUAAACGUUAACACAGAUGGCUUCUAGAUGUGGGCAGGGACAGGCAGCAGGAUCCCAGCCCCAGAGAAGACGACAGGAGUGCUCAGACCUCCAGGACACAUACCUACUCCAUGGGGAGCCUAGCCCUCCUCUCAGUAACCUGUCUCUCCAUGCCUCCUGGUGGUCCGGCAGGGACGAGCACAGAGAGACUGGGCCCUCCCUUGGCAUAGCACCCUGCAUCCCACUGCUGGCUUCCAUAGCACCCUGCAUCCCACUGCUGGCUUCCAUAGCACCCUGCAUCCCACUGCUGACUUCCAUAGCACCCUGCAUCCCACUGCUGACUUCCAUAGCACCCUGCAUCCCACUGCUGGCUUCCAUAGCACCCUGCAUCCCACUGCUGGCUUCCAUGGCACCCUGCAUCCCACUGCUGGCUUCCAUGGCACCCUGCAUCCCACUGCUGGCUUCCAUGGCACCCUGCAUCCCACUGCUGGCUUCCUUCUGAAGCUAAGCAGGGUUGGUCCUGGUUGGUCCCUGGAUGGGAGACCAGAUGCUGCUGAAGUGGUGUUGGAGGACCAAUAGCACCCACUCUUUCCUCUGGUCUAAAAAAUAUCCCAAUGCCCCAGGGCAGUGAUUGAGGACAUUGCCCUGUGCUGUCUUUCAGAUGGGACGUAUGUACCUCGGCCUAAACAUCAGCGCCACAGGAGCAACUGGUUGAGAGAAAUCAGCACGUUGCCAGACUACAGGAUUCACUGAGACGCGAGCGAGAGAAGGGUUCCAGCCUGCAGUCUCGGUGUAAACAGCAGGGGUCAGAGUUGAGGCGUCGAGAGCAGCACAGCGCCAGACUGAAGGAGAGACUAACCCAACUUGCAGAGAGACACAGAGAGAGAGGAGCCUCCAUGGAGCUGUUGAACCCGUUGCCCAGAGGUCAGGUGAAGAGGGACAGACCAGCCAAGACCAACGGAAGGAAGGAGGAGGCAGCGCUACGUGUGAUGCUGGAGCGGCGAGAGGCGGAGUUAGACCCUAUUGGACACUGUGGGUGACCAGGAAGAGGACAGAGACAACGCCAAGAUGCUGGUCCAGUCAGAGGAGUCCCUGGGCGACCAUGUGACAGGGGGUGUGGUCCAGGGAUGGAAGAGUGUGCAGAGGAGACUAGGGGACCUCCUGAGUCAGGGUCACGUGGCUGUGGGGACUGACCAGGAUAAGCUCUUGGCCCAGCUAGAGACAGAGUUGGAUCAGAGUCAACAGCUGGUCAAACUGCAGCCGCAUCUACUACAGCCGCUCUGACAGACUGCUACUUCCUGGAAGAGUGGGAGCGGCUUCAGAGCAUCUGGGCGGAGCUAGAACACCAGAAGCGGAGCUUCCAUAGGGAGAGACGGGCCUUCACCGAUGCCGCCAUCCGAUUGGGCCACGAGAGGCGUGAGUUUGAGCAGCAGAGGGCCUGUGUGGUGAAGCAGCAGUAUCUGUUUGACUCUCCGUUUGGGGAAAACGUUGCAGCGUCACAACAGGAGAGAGAGCACCAUCCUCAAUCUCUCAGAUUCUGAUCACAUGAUCCUGUCCGGCUGCCGCCAGGCCACGCCCUCCUCUGGGAUCAUGCCCUGGUUAGGGUCAUCGGGGUCUCUGCAGGUUCAUGGCAGGGUCAAAGUUUGCACCCCAGAGCUCUACUCUGCCCUCCAACUGCAGGUCCAGUGAGAGUGAUGCUCAGUCAGAGUGCUGGGAUGUGCUGGCAGAGAGGCUCCAGUUCGCCGCCACUGGUACUCGCCUGGACUGGUCAUUUCAGUAGGAUGGCUGUUUCUGUCGUUUCCAUUGUAUGUUUGUAUAAUAUUGUCUGUUUCAGUUGUUCCUUUGUUUCUAUUGUGUUUGAUGAAAUCGUUUUUCAAUGUGAUUAAUAAAGAUUAAU